RNAcentral lists this long non-coding RNA (2042 nucleotides) under Xyrichtys novacula (pearly razorfish). The record is from RNAcentral. Lineage: Eukaryota; Metazoa; Chordata; Actinopteri; Labriformes; Labridae.
GUGAAAGUAAGAGACGCAGUAAAAAAAUUAUUUAGAGAAGCCAGAGUAGUGGAAGUAGAAGUGAAGAUACAAGUUGUAGUGAUAAUAGUAGUAAUUGUAGUAGUAAAUCUGGGAAUCUGUUUGAAGAAUUAAAUAAUGCAUGAAUAAUGAGAAUGAUUUUAAAAUGGAAAAAAAAAUUGAAUAAUUAAAAAUCCUCAAGUAUUAGACAAGGUUGAAGUAUUAGAAAGGUUUGAAUCAGUUUGAAUGAGUUUAAAUUUGUCUGAAGAAUUGAAUAAUGAAUAUUUAACGGGAUUAUAUUUAAAGUGGGGAAAUUUAAAUGAAUAAAAAUCCUGAAUACAUUUUUGGAGCCCUGAAUGGUUUCUGUAGGUCAAAGUUUGUGGUAGGAGAUAUGGGCCAAAGUUUGUCAAGCGCUCUAGUAAAGGGUUUUAAAUGUCAUCCCCAGUGCUCUGUGUACUGAGCCUGGCUUCAUGUGUCUCAUAUAGCCGUUAGAAGCAGCUUUCCAGUCAGCUGUGUGUCUCCAGGUGCACUAAUUGAUUGCCACGGCGAAGGAAGAUGUGUCACUGCAGCAGGAGAGAGGCGGUUUGAAGCUGAGGAAAUAGCUUUCCAACUAGGCCCUGAUGGUCAACCUCUGUAUAUAUUCAUGAUAAGGAGCUUGUGAGAACCACAAGACUCUGCUGAACACAUUAAUACAAUUUAUUAUCACAAUCAUUAUAACACCCCAAUGUGUCCUCAAUAAGCUGAAAUUUUCAAGCCCAGUAUGGUUUCUGUAGCUCAAGGUUUGUGGGUGGAGAUAGGUGGUAAAGCAGACACAUAAUUACUGUGUGUACCUGUAGGUCUCAUAGACAGAGAGAGACUAAUGCACACACAUUGUCAGAGAGUGUGUGUGCCUGUUAAUUAAUGCAUCUUAACAGGUGUCAGACAUCAAAGGCAUUUACUGACCUACUGUUUGAAUGAGAAGCUGCCUAACUGCAGUGAAUUUAGGGCCUCUGAACUUCUUCACAUAGCACGAUUUCCUUAAGUCCCAGAAUGAAAAUAAGAAGAUCGUGCGAAUCCUCCGCCCCUCAUGAACACAAUGAUGAGUACAUCCCAUAAUGUUCUCAAUGAGCUGUCUGGAGCUUUCUGGAGCCCUGAAUGGUUUCUGUAGGUCAAAGUUUGUGGUAGGAGACAGGGGCCAAAGUUUGUCAAGUGCUCUGGUGAAGGGAUUUACAUGUCACCCCCAGUGCUCUGUGUGCUGAGCCUGGCUUCAUGUGUCUCAUAUAGUCGUUAGAAGCUGCUUUCUAGUCAGCUGUGUGUCUCCAGGUGCACUAAUUGAUUGCCAUGGCGAAGGAAGAUGUGUCACUACAGCAGGAGAAAGAAGGCUUGAAGCUGAGAAACAAAAUGCCAGACAAUGCCCUGAUGCUAAUUCUCUGUAACAGCUACAGUAUAUUCAUGAUAAGGAACUUGUGAGAACCGCAAGACUCUACUAAACACAUUGAUACAAUUAAGUAACAAAAUCCUAAUAACACUCCAUAAUGUCCGUAAUGAGCUGAAUUUUUGGAGCCCUGAAUGGUUUCUGUAGCUCAGUUUGUGGAAGAGGAUAGGUGGUGAAGCAGAUACAUGGUCAGAUACAAGUGUGUGCAUGUAGUCUCAUAGACAGAGAGACACUCACACACAUACAUAUUAACUGUGUGUACAUGCAGGUGUCAUAGAUAGAGAGAGACUAACGCACACACAUAGUUACUGUGUACAUGCAGGUGUCAUAGGCAGAGACACAGACACGCGCGCACACACACACACACACACACACACACACACACACACACACACACACACACACACACACACACACACACACACACACACACACACAUUGUCAGUCUGUGUGUGUGUGUGUAUCUUGCUAAUGAUUGCAUCCUAAACAGCUGUGAGAUCAAAGGACCAACUGACCUACUGUUUGAAUGAGAAGCUGCCUAACUGCAGUGAAUUUAGGGCCUCUGAACUUCUUCACAUAGCACAAUUUCCUUAAAUCCCAGAAUGAAAAUAAGAACAUCGUACAAAUCCUC